Molecule: ribosomal RNA, 338 nt
Filed under: Acinetobacter ursingii
Lineage: Bacteria; Pseudomonadati; Pseudomonadota; Gammaproteobacteria; Moraxellales; Moraxellaceae
Description: bacterial LSU rRNA
Rfam family: Bacterial large subunit ribosomal RNA
Source: RNAcentral
CGCCGGAAGACCAAGGGUUCCUGUCCAACGUUAAUCGGGGCAGGGUGAGUCGACCCCUAAGGCGAGGCCGAAAGGCGUAGUCGAUGGGAAACAGGUUAAUAUUCCUGUACUUGGUGUUACUGCGAAGGGGGGACGGAGAGGGCUAUGUUAGCCGGGCGACGGUUGUCCCGGUUUAAGCAUGUAGGCGGGAAGUUUAGGUAAAUCCGGACUUCUGUUAACGCUGAGGUGUGAUGACGAGGCACUACGGUGCUGAAGUAACAAAUGCCGCACUUCCAGGAAAAGCCUCUAAGCAUCAGGUAACAUCAAAUCGUACCCCAAACCGACACAGGUGGUCAGGU